RNAcentral lists this ribosomal RNA (475 nucleotides) under uncultured bacterium. RNAcentral's name for it is "bacterial SSU rRNA". It matches the Rfam family "Bacterial small subunit ribosomal RNA", at positions 28 to 502 of the family's 1533-position model. The record is from RNAcentral.
GAUGAACGCUAGCGGCAGGCUUAACACAUGCAAGUCGAGGGGUAUUGGUUUUCGGACCAAGAGACCGGCGCACGGGUGCGUAACGCGUAUGCAAUCUACCUUUUGCAGAGGGAUAGCCCCAGAGAAAUUUGGAUUAAUACCUCAUAGUAUAGUACUUUGGCAUCAAGGAACUAUUAAAGUCACAACGGCAAAGAUGAGCAUGCGUCCAUUAGCUAGUUGGUAAGGUAACGGCUUACCAAGGCUACGAUGGGUAGGGGUUCUGAGAGGGAGAUCCCCCACACUGGUACUGAGACACGGACCAGACUCCUACGGGAGGCAGCAGUGAGGAAUAUUGGACAAUGGGCGCGAGCCUGAUCCAGCCAUGGCCCGCGUGCAGGAUGACGGUCCUAUGGAUUGUAAACUGCUUUUUANACAGGAAGAAACACUCCGACGUGUCGGAGCUUGACGGUACUGUAAGAAUAAGGAUCGGCUAAAC